UACGUAGGGGGCAAGCGUUGUCCGGAUUUACUGGGUGUAAAGGGCGUGUAGCCGGGCUGACAAGUCAGAUGUGAAAUCCGGGGGCUCAACCCCCGAACUGCAUUUGAAACUGUUGGUCUUGAGUAUCGGAGAGGCAGGCGGAAUUCCUAGUGUAGCGGUGAAAUGCGUAGACAUUAGGAGGAACACCAGUGGCGAAGGCGGCCUGCUGGACGACAACUGACGGUGAGGCGCGAAAGCGUGGGGAGCAAACAGG
RNAcentral lists this ribosomal RNA (253 nucleotides) under uncultured bacterium. RNAcentral describes it as "partial 16S ribosomal RNA". It matches the Rfam family "Bacterial small subunit ribosomal RNA", at positions 524 to 776 of the family's 1533-position model. The record is from RNAcentral.